UACGUAGGUGGCAAGCGUUGUCCGGAUUUACUGGGCGUAAAGAGCGCGCAGGCGGUCGUUCAAGUCGCGUGUGAAAGCCCCCGGCUCAACUGGGGAGGGUCACGCGAUACUGAUCGACUCGAAGGCAGGAGAGGGUAGUGGAAUUCCCGGUGUAGUGGUGAAAUGCGUAGAGAUCAGGAAGAACACCCGUGGCGCAAGCGGCCACCUGGCCAAGAGCUGACGCUGAGGCACGAGAGCGUGGGGAGCGAACCGG
RNAcentral lists this ribosomal RNA (253 nucleotides) under uncultured bacterium. RNAcentral's name for it is "partial 16S ribosomal RNA". It matches the Rfam family "Bacterial small subunit ribosomal RNA", at positions 524 to 776 of the family's 1533-position model. The record is from RNAcentral.